CAACCAAAACACAAAACACACAAUAGCAGACAAAGAUCACAACACCUGCUAUUUUUUUUUUUUUUUU
RNAcentral lists this unclassified non-coding RNA (67 nucleotides) under Bodo saltans. The record is from RNAcentral. Lineage: Eukaryota; Euglenozoa; Kinetoplastea; Eubodonida; Bodonidae.